GGUGGCGUCUGCCUGCAGGACCCAGCUGGUUAGGUGCGAAUGAAGUGUGGCCGCGCAGGAAGAAGAACAAGUCAGCACGACCUUUCACCCCCGUCCAUCACUCUCUGACCUCCCCUCUGCUGAGUGAAGCACCAAGGGAGGUCAUCUACCGCCAGCUAUGCUGUCUGAGUUGGCUGCUGGAGGCCUUGACUCUGGAUCGCUCUAGCAGAGUCGGCCCGCUCUCCGCCUGCUGGGACCCCAAAGACCCUGGCCGAGGCAGGACCACGAUAAAGACGCUGAAGAAAGAGAGAGCCAUUGAGAGCAAAUGGGAGCAGUUUGUUUCAGCCAAG
Molecule: non-coding RNA, 329 nt
Organism: Epinephelus lanceolatus (giant grouper)
Lineage: Eukaryota; Metazoa; Chordata; Actinopteri; Perciformes; Serranidae
Source: RefSeq, a predicted model, not a curated record